RNAcentral lists this long non-coding RNA (1425 nucleotides) under Equus caballus (horse). RNAcentral describes it as "lncRNA (ENSECAG00000052176.1)". Lineage: Eukaryota; Metazoa; Chordata; Mammalia; Perissodactyla; Equidae. The record is from RNAcentral.
CUCCUGACAUCAAUCUCAUCCAGAAGAAGAGUCUAUUUCUCCACCCCCUGAACCUAAGCUUGGUCCAUACUGGUCAUCCUGGUCAUCCUGGACAUUGCCAUUCCAGUUGGGCAGAAUACAGAAAGAAUGUAGGAGCAAACAUGGAAGGCUGUGGCCAGCUCAAAGUGAUCUACGUCAUACCCACUCAUAUUCCACUGGCUAGAAUUCACUCACAUGGACACACAUAUCUGUGAGUGAGGCUGAGAAAUGAAGAGAAUGACUCUUGGUGGACAGUAGCAGUCGCUGCCAUGCUUGUGUGGCAUAUAGGGUUUAGAAAUUACAUUAUAAUUGCUAAUUUAGAAAUUAGAGUUAGGGCUCCCAGCUGGAGCCAGGGAUUCAAGGUUGAUGGAGUUCACGAGGCAGAAAAGAUAGAAAACUAGGCAGAUUCAUCAUGGGCAGAGGAAUCACAGUAUUUCACACUUUGCCUUUUCCCAGGUGGAAGUGGGGCCAGGUAGGAGUGGUGAGACUCUGCUCCAUACAUGGGUGGCUUGAGAAAGAGGUUAGGGAGCAGCCACAGAGAAUCUGCUGAUCGGUUUGUAGAAAAGGCCACUGAGGUCAAAGCUGACUGUCAUCAGGGUUUCCAUUCCAGCUAGGAUCCUGUCUCUAAACAGAGGCAGGAAAGCCCUCUGAGGGCUUAUGAGCAGGUAGAGACAAACUUCAUUCCUCUUUCCCCAUUUACUCAAGUUCAAGAUGACUGGAAAGAUAAAACAGCCCUUAAAAGCAUCAUAUCCAGGAUUUCACCCAGUGGAGAGGACAUUUUUUAAUAUUGAGUGCCACUAUCCACAGAAAAAUAAUCGGUUGACAUAAGCAAUGUAAGAAAAAAACUUACUCAUAAUUUGGGGUGUUUCAAGAAAUAUAAUUACAUAAUGCACUAUUUAUUUGAUUUUUAGAUUAAGAGCAAAAAAUACAAAUGGUUUAUAAUAAAUAUAAUUAGUAAAAUAUGUAUGGCAGUUUGAUUUUAAUGUAAAUAAAGAGACAGAGCAAGUGUUUAGAAAGACAGAAAAUCAAGAGACAGAGACAAAAACAGGGACAAGGAGGAAGAGAGGGAGAGAAACAGAAUAAGAGACACUUAGAAAUAUACUCAAGAAAGAUUUAGAGCAGCCACGGACACACAAAAACCUCAUGUGCACGUACCAACUUUCAAGAAUGGAGUAACAUAGUCAUUUUGUGACCUUAUAAGAUUUUGCCACCAAAGACACUUAAAGUUCCACUGCAUUCUCCCAACUAUAGGCAUAAACAAAAUUGUCUCUUCAUAUUUGCCAAAUAAAAUUGAGGGAAUUAAAUCAUGGAGGAAAAAAUCCAACACUCGUGUUCUAUACUCUUUCUCCAGGUAGCAACCGUAAUUACCACAAAGCGAAGGAUUCAUGUAGGAAGCACCAAGCAUCC